UGGAGAGCGAGGACUUGAUGAGUUCAGGAUUAGUGCCUUUGGGGAGCAAAAAUUCUCUGUUGUAUUCACGAUAAACAGACCUGCUGUCACUCUUCUCUUCAUGUUUGGCAUGAACCUGUUGGAAUGAAAUAGUACAAGCAAGGAUUAGCGACCAGUACGCAGCCUGUCGUGAUGAGGACGGCGAUCUCCCAUAAUGACCGGUCAUAUAAGGUCAUAUGUCGGUUACCGUCCAGUAGACCACUGGUCGCACGAUCAACGCCAUCCAAUCUGUAGGCAUUGGCAAGAACAACACACCGAUGGUCUGCCACAAGACGCCACUUGGACGCCGACAGAUACCACAGUGGUUGGUGUCUUGUAUGUGUCAUAUAAAAACCUGCACAGUCUGGGGCAGCGAUCACACCUUUACCUCUACCUUUCAGCAUACACGACUCUUUUAUUACUGUCGCUCCACCCACAAUGACCUGACCUCAUUUAGUCUCCUCCAAUCGUUGAGAGCGGUGGCGGUCUGCACUCAACCCAGACACAGACAGCAGCCAAUAGGACGGGGAACAGGUGCCAACCAUGUGGCCAAUAGACCGCCACUAGAUGGCCACCGUGCAGUGAUUGGACGGUGUCCAUUUGCCGUCCAGCCUACCACCGGUCACUGCACAACUCGCCGUGUGGUGGGAGACCAGACGCCGACCACGGCCAGUAACAAAUGCAAAGUGGAUGCCAAACAUUGACGACCACCUCCUACCUGAUAGCAACCAGAUAGCAUUCACUUGCCUUCUGGUAGCCGUUCACCAAUUAACCGUCAUCUGUCAGCCAAUGGUGGCAAUCCACUUGCCGUCCAGACAGAGUCCAUUCGGCCAUCGGACGGCAACCUUUUUACGACAGGCAGAGACUUGAGAGGUCGACUGGAGCCGUUUGGUGCAGCACCAAUAACCUCCAGCCAACCUUUUCAGUUGCACGGCGGACGGAGACACAUGAUGAUCGCACGCACAACCAUGUGAGACCUCCUGCGACCUGUAGGUCAUGGGAGGUCGUCAUUAGAUAGUAAAGUCAGUGUAACCAGGAAAUUGAAAGAACAAACCCAUACUCGUCUUGGUGAUGUGUCGCUCCAUACAGUGCAAGAAACUUUGCAACAUGACCUUGGUUGCAGGUGUUAUUUCGUGUGGAAGAAGCCACUAAUAAAUGACCUCCAAAGGAAGAGGAGGCUUCAUUUUGCCCAGCAAUGUAAAGAUCAGUGAUUGCUGGUAUUGUUUUGCCACCUGUUUGUUUUCCAUCCAUUAUGUAAUCCAGCAAAAAAGGGCAGAAACACAAGAAUGUAGGUGAAAUUUCAGGCUAAAUUGUUCAAGGCCAUACAAACUGUCAACCCCCACAGGAGGGAAGGGAGAGAAGGAGACCUUUCCCUCACACCAGUGAAUGAGAAAAAAGAUGCACGUCACUGCCUGACACACGAUUAAUGCCUCUUGCAUUUUAAUGAUGGUAUGAGAGGUAAAUAUGAAAUUGUGCGGAAAAUUUCAAUGUGCAGACUCUGGCGCAAGAAUCAUCCGUGCAAACUGCACUCUUGGAAGAUCUACUCCUAUUUCUCUACUUGUUGACAGUAUCUAGUAAUACCCCUGUCCCGUUAUUCACAGGGGUUAGGGGUCACACACCCUACAAAUAUCAAAUUUUUGCAAAUGUUUGGUGCACCCCCCAAAAAAGCCUUUCCAAGUCCCUAUUAGUGUCCAUGUCUUACAGCCAUAGAGCAAGGCUGAGAGCACAAGUGACUUGAAGAUCUAUAACACCAUAAUGACCCUUUACUGGAAACAGCAAUCAUAGUUUGACAAAGCUUUUGUAGAAAGUAAAAAACAUGCAGCAGAGGUGACAGUGGCCACUCUUAUUAACUAUGACAACCCCUUUGUUCACGCUGUUCAGCAUAAUGUACAUCCCCCUGGCACGGCUUGGUCUUGGUCUUGGUUCAGGCCACCAUUUUGGCAAAACUUAUUAGCUGAGCUUAAUUGCUGUUGCCAUUACAAAGGCAAUGCCGCCUUCAUGACUGGACUUCUGGUAAAGUUGCACAACACUGCAUUGCUGAAAGCUCAACUGAAUGCAGGACAGGCCUACUCUGGAGGUGGUGGAAGUGUGGCGCUGGUAUUUCAAAUCUUAUGCCGGUCAGAUAUUCAUAAUUUUUCAAUGAUUUUCCUUGCAAUUUUUUGAAACUUUGACGAGACAGAUUUAUGCCGGAUAUUUGGAGUUUCCAGAUACCCAGGGGCAAGAUGAAGGGUUUUUAAUCUUAUUUCAGGUAUCUUCAUUAAGACAUUUGAUUCUGUAAGUGCAAAUUAAGUUUUUUUAAUAAUUAAUUGCAUGUAAAUUACAUGGGUAAUAUUCACAGUAGCAUGAAAUAUUAUUAAAUGUGAUACCAGGCUACUUCAAAUAUUACCUCUGUAAUUUACAUGCAACAAAUAAUUGAGAUAUAUGUACUACCUUUUAUUUGCAGUUACAGAGCCAGAUGUUUCAUUAUAUGGGUGCCGUUCACAAAAGUAACUGUUCACACAUCUCAACGGGGCUCUGGAGUCAACAAACCACACCGCACCCCUCCGUUGAUACCGAAAGACAGUCUUUUUGCCUAAAUGGCAUCCUUUUGUGGCAUGCUGGGGUGUGGCAAUAAAUGGAACAAGUUCCCCAAUAAGUCAUUCUACAGACUACCAGCUGUGGACAAGAUACAAGGACUGAAAGGAGAGAAAAUAACAAAAGAACGCUGACAGCAGUGGUUGGGCAACUUGUCGAGUGGUUGGCCAGUCUGUCGACAGGUUGCCAGCCACUCCCUUCAGCGUUCUCGUGUUAUUUUCUCUCCUUUCAAUCCCUGUCUCUUGUCCACAGCUGGUAGUCUGUAGAAUGACUUAUCGGGGAACUUGUUCCAUUUAUUUCCACACCCCAGCAUGCCACAAAAGGAGGAGGAAGUGAUACAAAGUGGAGUAGGUCAAAAGAAGAAGAAGAGUGAUUAGUUUUGUUGGUCCUCCAGAGCUCGGCCCGAGCUUGAACUUGACGAGUUGUGCACGGCACCUAUACCUGAAAUUAUAUUAUUUGCAGAUAAGGCUGUACAUGAAGGGAUUUAAAUUCAGUUAAAAAAAAAGCAUGUAAAAUGAUUCUGUAUUAAAAGAAGAAAGCCCUGGAAGACCUUAAUAUCAGAGGUAGACACUGUGUGAAUAAAUGUAGCCUUUGACUUUACGCAUUAAAUACAAAACUUGU
Long non-coding RNA from Eriocheir sinensis (Chinese mitten crab), 3213 nucleotides. RefSeq lists it as uncharacterized. The transcript is spliced from 2 exons. The record is from RefSeq and is a predicted model, not a curated record. Lineage: Eukaryota; Metazoa; Arthropoda; Malacostraca; Decapoda; Varunidae.